UAGCUGCCUGACUACUACCCUGACAAAGUGUAUUCAAUUAUUUUUGAAAGAACAAUUGACCUUCUUGGACUCAGUUACCCCAACAUCUCUACCCAAAACACAGAGAAAACCCUCAGAAGUUACAAGACUUUACCUUUAAAUACAUUAUUUAAAAAAGAAGAAGAAAGAAGAAAAGGGAGGUGCAGGAAGAGAGACUUUGGGGAUAUGCAUCAUGUCAGUCUGAUACAGCUCAAUGAAACAAGCAGUAACCUCCUGAAAACAGAGAUGGUAAUCGAAAUGUUGAUUAAGCUUAACUGA
This 297-nucleotide long non-coding RNA is filed under the name Monodelphis domestica (gray short-tailed opossum). Its description in RNAcentral is "lncRNA (ENSMODG00000049143.1)". The record is from RNAcentral. Lineage: Eukaryota; Metazoa; Chordata; Mammalia; Didelphimorphia; Didelphidae.